CUUAAACAAACGCUUGUCGGAAGAACGUAAGUCUGAAUACGCAAUAGGCUUAUAUUUUUUCUCUCAAGCGUCACUUUUUCCCCCAUUAUCAGAGUUGCAAACUCUGACCGGUUAGUGCGUGCCCCCACCUCUUCGGUGUUCUCGGUGCUAGCUGUUCUCUGCUCUCUGAGUGAGGGACUAAAAAUAAAUCCCUCAAAGUUGAGAAGCAGCUCGCUCUUUUUUGUUACUCUUCGUCUUUCAAGUUGUGAGUACUCUCUUAAGUGCGAAAUGAUUAGCUACGUGUACAAGUGCAAAGUUUGAGUAGCCAGUAGGGAUUAAACUAAAGGGUUGAACUAGAGUAAAACGACCCGAUUGAAGAGGUGCAAGUCGACAAGAACAGAUCAAACACCGGUGAGUCAUCUUCAGUGAAGUUCUGAGUACAAUAUAGGCGGAUAUAAUUGGCACAAUUAUUGAACAAAAGUGAGAAGUAAAAAUUAGUUUUAAGACAUAUUUCAAAUCCGACCAUCACUCGUGCUCGAAUUAACGACGAAAAAAAAUUAAAUCAAGGUGUUAAAAUACUGAGUAGUCAAGUGUGUCACAUCGUCAAGACCGAGACAAAGUCAGUAGAAAACGUUAUAUUCAAAGAAUUAAAGAUCAUGGAUACGAUUAGAAGUGAAUACACACAAAAAAUACAGACUCCAUUACAACAAUUUUAUGCAGGUCAAACUAUUUUUAUCACAGGGGCUACUGGAUUUAUCGGAGCAGUCUUACUUGAAAAAUUGCUGAGGAGUUGUACCAAUAUUUGUAAAAUUUAUCUGUUAAUACGUCCGAAGAAAAACCAAAAUAUCGAAAGUAGACUGGACGAAUUAAUUGAAAAUCGAUUAUUCGAUCGAGUAAAGAGAGAAGUGCCAAAUUUUCGACAUAAAAUUGU
Pseudomyrmex gracilis is the source of this 910-nucleotide long non-coding RNA. RefSeq lists it as uncharacterized. The record is from RefSeq and is a predicted model, not a curated record. The transcript has 5 exons. Lineage: Eukaryota; Metazoa; Arthropoda; Insecta; Hymenoptera; Formicidae.